Molecule: ribosomal RNA, 339 nt
Filed under: uncultured bacterium
Lineage: Bacteria
Description: bacterial SSU rRNA
Rfam family: Bacterial small subunit ribosomal RNA
Source: RNAcentral
GAUGGACGCUGGCGGCGUGCUUAACACAUGCAAGUCGAACGAGACAAAAGAAAAGUGCUUGCACGGAUCUUUUAGAAAGUGGCGAACGGGUGAGUAACGCGUGGGUAACCUGCCCUAUGGAAAGGAAUAGCCUCGGGAAACUGGGAGUAAUGCCUUAUAAUAUAAAGAAGUCGCAUGGCUUUUUUAUUAAACGCUCCGGUGCCAUAGGAUGGACCCGCGUCCCAUUAGCUAGUUGGUGAGAUAACAGCCCGCCAAGGCGACGAUGGGUAACCGGUCUGAGAGGGUGAACGGUCACACUGGAACUGAGACACGGUCCAGACUCCUACGGGAGGCAGCAUG